GCGGGAGUGCCGGAGUGGUCAAACGGGAUUGGUUAAGGACCAAUUGGCUUAGUGCCUGCACAGGUUCAAACCCUGUCUUCCGCA
This 84-nucleotide transfer RNA is filed under the name Candidatus Pacearchaeota archaeon. RNAcentral describes it as "tRNA-Leu". It matches the Rfam family "tRNA". From Rfam's summary of the family: Transfer RNA (tRNA) molecules are approximately 80 nucleotides in length. Lineage: Archaea; Nanobdellati. The record is from RNAcentral.